UCUGCACCCUGACAGGCACUGUCUUUGCUUUUGUUAAUGGGUGAGGAGGGAAGGAAACGAAAGGCUGAAGUGUUUCCUGCUGUCUUCUGUGCCUCUUGCUGCUCUCGGUGCCUUUCGAAGUCAUUUUCUGCAUGAAGGAGGGUAACGCCACAGGCCACUGAAACAACAAGAGAAACUGAUAACCUCAAAAAGCACAAUUCCUCCAGCAGAUACCAGGUCUUGUCGAUACUGCAAAACCUUCCCACAAAGUGCCAUGUGGUGCUGCAGGGUCAGAGGCUGAUUCAGCUUCUGUCAGGCUGGCAAUAUGAGGAGGCAGAGCUGGUGCCUGAGAAGGCAGAUUCCGUGCCUCUAGGUUUAUCUUUACCUCCACACCACCAACCCUGGAAUGGUUGCCCUAUAUGAUACCUUUUCAUGUUCCCUGAAAAGCAUCUGGUGUCUCUUGAAACAUCACAUGUUGCUUCUGUC
Cuculus canorus (common cuckoo) is the source of this 465-nucleotide long non-coding RNA. RefSeq lists it as uncharacterized. Lineage: Eukaryota; Metazoa; Chordata; Aves; Cuculiformes; Cuculidae. The record is from RefSeq and is a predicted model, not a curated record. The transcript is spliced from 3 exons.